Long non-coding RNA from Acanthochromis polyacanthus (spiny chromis), 606 nucleotides. RefSeq lists it as uncharacterized. The record is from RefSeq and is a predicted model, not a curated record. Lineage: Eukaryota; Metazoa; Chordata; Actinopteri; Pomacentridae. The transcript has 3 exons.
CCACAGGAUCAAUCUAGAUGAUGGAGAUGUUGGGAGGACUUGAUGUUUCUGGACCAGUCUGCCAAUAGAAACCCUAGCAGGAGCUGAACUCCAGACAGCAGAGCUCCCAGCAUCCUCUGAGCUCACAAAUCCUCCACCACUAUAAGGUGGCAGUUAAAGGAGAGACCACAUGGUUGGUCCACACCUGGAUUCUCUUUGUUCUGCUGCUGCUGCUUCCAUCAAAGUUACAUGAGCUCUGGUUUGUUCUGAUGCUGUUCAGGAACUGGUAACAUCUCUAUAGCUGCUGCUUCAUCAGGAGGAACUGAGAAGUUUGGAUUCUGCCUCCUGCGCUGUCUAGAGAUUAGAAAACCAAGAGCAGCCACAGCAAGAAGUAUCACACUCCCUACUGAUCCUACAAUGACUCCAUCCUUGUCGCCUCCAUCUCCAGUGAUUCCACCCUUGUCUCCUACAGACAGAGAUAUCAGAGAUAUCAGGUGUUUGAACAUCAGUCAGAUCAGCUGUUUUCUCCAAAGUCUCAUCAGCAACAUCUUUAUAAACCACAAACAUCUGAUCUGAGACCAAGCAGCUUCAUCAGAGACACAAACUGAACUCUCAACACAAACUCAC